RNAcentral lists this ribosomal RNA (555 nucleotides) under uncultured beta proteobacterium. RNAcentral describes it as "bacterial SSU rRNA". It matches the Rfam family "Bacterial small subunit ribosomal RNA", at positions 56 to 605 of the family's 1533-position model. The record is from RNAcentral. Lineage: Bacteria; Pseudomonadati; Pseudomonadota; Betaproteobacteria.
UGCAAGUCGAGCGGCAGCGCGGGGGCACCCUGGCGGCGAGCGGCGAACGGGUGAGUAAUACAUCGGAACGUGUCCCGUAGUGGGGGAUAGCCCGGCGAAAGCCGGAUUAAUACCGCAUAUGCUCUACGGAGGAAAGUGGGGGACUCGCAAGGGCCUCACGCUAUGGGAGCGGCCGAUGUCCGAUUAGCUUGUUGGCGGGGUAAUGGCCCACCAAGGCGACGAUCGGUAGCUGGUCUGAGAGGAUGAUCAGCCACACUGGGACUGAGACACGGCCCAGACUCCUACGGGAGGCAGCAGUGGGGAAUUUUGGACAAUGGGGGAAACCCUGAUCCAGCCAUGCCGCGUGCGGGAAGAAGGCCUUCGGGUUGUAAACCGCUUUUGGUCGGAAAGAAAAGGCGUCCUCUAAUACGGGGCGCUCUUGACGGUACCGGCAGAAUAAGCACCGGCUAACUACGUGCCAGCAGCCGCGGUAAUACGUAGGGUGCGAGCGUUAAUCGGAAUUACUGGGCGUAAAGCGUGCGCAGGCGGUUCUCCAAGUCCGUUGUGAAGCCCCGG